AUGCCGCCGCCGCCCACCUGUGCGACCUUCACUCGCGCCACCGCUCACCUGUGUGAUUCAGCCGCCCAGGGUGUUGGUGAAGUCGCUCCUUCCCAGCAGCUGGUGGAAUCGCCGCUCCUUACCCUUCGUUGGUGGAAUCGCCACCCGAGCCUGAGCUGGUCGCCGAGUUCCCGCCUCUGCUGCUUGUACUCCUGUGGAUGUGCGCUCACACCCAACCAAACUUCAGCUCUGGUUGAGCGUCGAUGUCGGGUCAGGCGCCAGGAUUCGAACGUCUAA
Molecule: ribosomal RNA, 276 nt
Filed under: Triticum aestivum (bread wheat)
Lineage: Eukaryota; Viridiplantae; Streptophyta; Magnoliopsida; Poales; Poaceae
Description: partial small subunit ribosomal RNA
Source: RNAcentral